UAUUAAUAAAUAUGUGCAUGCAUUAUUUAUUUGUUUAUUAAUUCCAUUUUCUAUUUAUUAUUUGUUCAUGUAUUAAAUAUUUCUACAACUUCAUAAAUUACAAGCAUGAUUUGAACUUCCAAAUGGAAAAUGUGUUUACAAAAUGAGUAUUUGCUUUGAGAAACCGGGUCUUAGCGCAAGUGCGUAAACUUCUAUUAAUUUGAUAUAUUGUUACCCGAAAAUAAGAUGCACAAUUCCGUACAUAAAAUUAAGCGUUUCUAACAGUAUACAAUAAAUAUUUGAGACUUCGUUAAUUGAAAUUAAAUAAAUCUUUGUUAAUUAGGAUUAAUUAACUUAUUAAAUUGAGAUAAUAAAAUAUUUCACAAGAUUGUAAUUUUGAUUGGAUUAUGUUAUAGGUGUAUAACUAUUUGUUAAUAACGCACAUUGUUGCAAAACCUGCAAUGGUUUGAAUGUUCGUAACAGUUAUGGGGGAAAAUGUUUUGUCUUUGUAGGCAUUACACAAAAACAGUACUUUGCCGCCAUUCGAUGACAUGGAGACAGAAGACACGCCUGUUAAUGAACAGAUUUCAACGUCUGCACAGAAUGUAGCACAGGCGGGUUCCGAGAAGAGAAACGUACGCAUACAUAAGGAAAAUACUGUGUCUGCCGUUCCUACCGGCAGAACACAUUCCUGAGAUGUUCGAGUCCAUGGUCGACAUCGCGCCUCACAGAUUUGAUUGACUUUUGAGCUACAUACGCUCAACAUGGUUCGUGCCUUCAACUUGGCCUGUGUCCUGCUGGUCGGUGUUCGCCAUGAGCAUUCGAACCAACAACGACGUGGAAGGUUAGCACAGACGUCUCAAUGGGAGUGCGGGGAUUGCCCCUCCCAUGUACCUCCUCAUCCGCCUUCUUUCUGACGAGGCAAACGUUGCACUUCGGAACGUACAGUUGGUUACGGAGCCAACUGACUCGCUACCAGCGACGGCAGCAGAAAACCAUGCAAACCUAGAUUGCCAGGUUGUGGUCAUUGUACAGGCGGGGCGAGGUAUCCGCAACGGCACUACUGAAACAGAUGAGCACAAAGUACAAGCACUGCUUGAUUGAACUACAAUGUAAAUAUCUUGUAAAUGUUGAAAUAAAAUAAAAAUACUUACAUGUAUCUCUCCUUGUGUAUAUAUUGUAAAUCUUUGAUUAUGUGAACAUUUUGAAAUAAAUAUUAAAACAAAAGUAUAUGGAUGUAUGUCUCCUUGUGUAUAUAUUGUAAAUCUUUGAUUAUGUGUGAAAAUAUUGAAAUAAAUAUUUAAAAAAAAUUAUAUAGAUGUAUGUCGCCUUGUGUAUAUAUUGUAAAUCUUUGAUUAUGUGUGAAAGUAUUUAAAAAAAAAAAAUAGAUGUAUGUCUCAUUGUGUACAUAUUGUAAAGCUUUGUUAAUGUGUGUAAAUAUUGAAAUAAAUAUUAAAAGAAAAGUAUGGAGAUGUAGGUCUACUUGUGUACAUAUUGUAAAGCUAUGAUACUGUGUGUAAAUAUAUUGAAAUAAAUAUUACAAUAAAAGUAUAUAGAUGUAUGUCUA
This is a long non-coding RNA of Dreissena polymorpha, 1546 nucleotides long. RefSeq lists it as uncharacterized. Lineage: Eukaryota; Metazoa; Mollusca; Bivalvia; Myida; Dreissenidae. The record is from RefSeq and is a predicted model, not a curated record. The transcript is spliced from 3 exons.